UAUCAAUAAGCGGAGGAAAAGAAACCAACAGGGAUUGCCCCAGUAACGGCGAGUGAAGCGGCAACAGCUCAAAUUUGAAAUCUGGCCCCCCGGCCCGAGUUGUAAUUUGCAGAGGAUGCUUUUGGUGAGGCACCUACCGAGUCCCCUGGAAUGGGGCGCCAUAGAGGGUGAGAGCCCCGUAUGGUAGGACGCCGAACCUCUGUAAAGCUCCUUCGACGAGUCGAGUAGUUUGGGAAUGCUGCUCUAAAUGGGAGGUAAAUUUCUUCUAAAGCUAAAUACCGGCCAGAGACCGAUAGCGCACAAGUAGAGUGAUCGAAAGAUGAAAAGCACUUUGAAAAGAGGGUUAAAAAGUACGUGAAAUUGUUGAAAGGGAAGCGCUUGUGACCAGACUUGCGCCGGGCGGAUCAUCCAGCGUUCUCGCUGGUGCACUCCGCCCGGUUCAGGCCAGCAUCGGUUUUCGCCGGGGGACAAAGGCUUCGGGAACGUGGCUCCUUUCGGGGAGUGUUAUAGCCCGUUGCGUAAUACCCCGGCGGGGACCGACGACCGCGCUUCGGCAAGGAUGCUGGCGUAAUGGUCAUCAGCGACCCGUCUUGAAACACGGACCGAGGAGUCAAGCAUUAGUGCGAGUGUUUGGGUGUAAAACCCGCACGCGUAAUGAAAGUGAACGUAGGUGAGAGCUUCGGCGCAUCAUCGACCGAUCCUGAUGUUUUCGGAAGGAUUUGAGUAGGAGCAUUAACGCUUGGACCCGAAAGAUGGUGAACUAUACUUGAAUAGGGUGAAGCCAGAGGAAACUCUGGUGGAGGCUCGCAGCGGUUCUGACGUGCAAAUCGAUCGUCAAAUUUGAGUAUAGGGGCGAAAGACUAAUCGA
This 868-nucleotide ribosomal RNA is filed under the name Pyricularia grisea. RNAcentral describes it as "LSU rRNA". It matches the Rfam family "Eukaryotic large subunit ribosomal RNA", at positions 41 to 938 of the family's 3401-position model. Lineage: Eukaryota; Fungi; Ascomycota; Sordariomycetes; Magnaporthales; Pyriculariaceae. The record is from RNAcentral.